Molecule: ribosomal RNA, 253 nt
Filed under: uncultured bacterium
Lineage: Bacteria
Description: partial 16S ribosomal RNA
Rfam family: Bacterial small subunit ribosomal RNA
Source: RNAcentral
GACAGAGGGUGCAAACGUUGUUCGGAAUUACUGGGCGUAAAGCGCGUGUAGGCGGCCCUGCAAGUCGGAUGUGAAAUCCCACGGCUCAACCGUGGAAGUGCAUUCGAAACUGCAGGGCUAGAGUCCUGGAGAGGAAGGUGGAAUGCUUGGUGUAGAGGUGAAAUUCGUAGAUAUCAAGCGGAACACCGGUGGCGAAGGCGACUCACUGGCCCGAUACUGACGCUGAGGCGCGAAAGCGUGGGGAGCAAACAGG